GUUGCUUUAUUAUCACUUCGGGAUUUUUAAUCAUCAACUUAUUUUGAGAAUUCUUGAAUGUUCUGUGCUAUGAAGAUUAUCUGUUCUCUAAUUAUUUUCUAAUUAUUCUCAAAAUGUGAUAAUUAUUUUCUAAUUGUUAUUGAAAUGAAUAAUAUGUUUUUCUAGCUUGAAUUAUCAACUGAUCAUUUGUUGAAUUUGGGUGCCAGGAAAUGAAACUG
Molecule: unclassified non-coding RNA, 218 nt
Filed under: Hevea brasiliensis (rubber tree)
Lineage: Eukaryota; Viridiplantae; Streptophyta; Magnoliopsida; Malpighiales; Euphorbiaceae
Source: RNAcentral